RNAcentral lists this long non-coding RNA (316 nucleotides) under Gossypium barbadense (sea-island cotton). RNAcentral's name for it is "long non-coding RNA (GBAR_LNC007214)". The record is from RNAcentral. Lineage: Eukaryota; Viridiplantae; Streptophyta; Magnoliopsida; Malvales; Malvaceae.
AGAAAAGGCGAUGCGCACUUGUUGAGUGACCCUAAAUUGGCCUUCGUUGCUAAGCCCUUGUAGUUGAUAAGGUUGUGGAUGCUUGGUAGUGGUUAAGCAAAGCUUUUCCACCAUCGUCGUGCUGGCUAUGUUCGAGCAACUUUCACCAUCAAUAAUAACUCUACAAAGCUUACCUUGUACAUGGCAGCGAGUAUGAAAGAGAUGUUCUCGUUGCUGCUCGCUCUUUGGUUUUGCCAAAGAUGAUUGUCCACGAUCAUGAAAAUCAUCAUCCAUUCUAGGGACACGUUGAGGGUUGCACCUAUGGGGCUGGUUAUCC